Corylus avellana is the source of this 904-nucleotide RNA transcript. It is a transcript of the gene named SAP domain-containing protein, with no coding region annotated. NCBI's taxonomy places the organism in Eukaryota, Viridiplantae, Streptophyta, Magnoliopsida, Fagales, Betulaceae. The record is from RefSeq and is a predicted model, not a curated record.
AAACGUGCACUAAAACUACUGGUAGUCGCACACGCACUUGAUUCACUCGCGCUUUGUUGCUGUAUUUCGCGAGGGGUCUUUUUCACGUCAGGCGCCAUGGAGGGCUCCUCGUCCUCUCAGCCGUCCGAUUCGACUCAUCCAACGGCUUCUGGCGCUUCCAAGUUCCUCGCCGACCUUCCCUCCCGGGGCCUCUUCUCCUCCACCGUCCUCUCCUCAAACCCGGGCGGGAUGCGAAUUUAUAUUUGUGACCAUGACACAUCACCUCCAGAUGGCCAACAGAUAAAAACGAACCAACAGAACAUAUUGAUUAGAUCACUCAUGCUUAAGAAACAGAAGGGCGAUUCUAGUUCGAAGGAUGUGAAGGGUGUAGCUGCAAGUGAGAGUUCUAGAAAGAGGGUUGCUGAAAGAGCUGCAGAUGGCAGGGCUUCAGCUAAGAGAGCCACUAUUCAAAAUAGUUCUCGACAAGAAGGAUCGAACAGUCAAGCAUCUAAUAGGGACUUCCACACCUUUACUGUGGAUAGGCUUCGUGCCCUUUUGAAGGCAAGAAAUCUUUCCCCUAAAGGAAAAAAGGAUGAGCUGAUUGCACGCUUGAAAGGAGCAACUGGAUAAGCAUAUGGCAGAAAGGAGAGAAGGGAUGGGGGAGGGGGAACAAAUCUGCCCUCCUUGUCUACACAUCGAGAGCAAAAUAGAGAACUUUGCUAGCCAUGUAGUUGGAGACUAUGACAGCGUUUCAAAGAGAGUGUUUUUUUUUUUUUUUGGUGGGUUUUCAAGGAGAGUUUUAGUUUGUUUCUAAAUAUGUUUCUUCAGUUCCUUACUUGAUUAAUUCAGUGUCAAAGCGACGCUGGACUAUCAUGUUUCCCCUUGGUAUAAGUUGGGCAACUUCAGUUCAAGGGCACCUAGUUUG